This 208-nucleotide long non-coding RNA is filed under the name Elaeis guineensis (African oil palm). RNAcentral describes it as "long non-coding RNA (EGUI_LNC071775)". Lineage: Eukaryota; Viridiplantae; Streptophyta; Magnoliopsida; Arecales; Arecaceae. The record is from RNAcentral.
UGUUUGUACUCACACAUGGUACGAUUAGGUCCCACUGAAAGAGCACGCACAUCAGGGCUUACAUCAUCGAGCGGUAAUCUCCAAAUCUAAGAAGAUGACACCUAAUUAGUAAAAUGUUCAAAUAAGAUAUACAAGACAGGAAUAUACACUCACUUAUAUGAUCUUUGAACCACUUAGGAAACUCUUUGUUGUACAUUUUCUUUUUUUU